GACAGGUGCUGCAUGGCUGUCGUCAGCUCGUGUUGUGAAAUGUUGGGUUAAGUCUCGCAACGAGCGCAACCCCUAUCUUUAGUUGCCAGCAUUAAGUUGGGCACUCUAGAGAGACUGCCCGGGUUAACCGGGAGGAAGGUGGGGAUGACGUCAAGUCCUCAUGGCCCUUAUGCCUAGGGCUACACACGUAAUACAAUGGCAGAUACAAAGGGAAGCGACCACGCGAGUGUUAGCAAAUCUCAAAAAGUCUGUCUCAGUCCGGAUUGGAGUCUGCAACUCGACUCCAUGAAGUUGGAAUCGCUAGUA
RNAcentral lists this ribosomal RNA (306 nucleotides) under uncultured Peredibacter sp. RNAcentral's name for it is "bacterial SSU rRNA". It matches the Rfam family "Bacterial small subunit ribosomal RNA", at positions 1033 to 1340 of the family's 1533-position model. The record is from RNAcentral. Lineage: Bacteria; Pseudomonadati; Bdellovibrionota; Bacteriovoracia; Bacteriovoracales; Bacteriovoracaceae.